Molecule: long non-coding RNA, 106 nt
Organism: Amblyraja radiata (thorny skate)
Lineage: Eukaryota; Metazoa; Chordata; Chondrichthyes; Rajiformes; Rajidae
Exons: 3
Source: RefSeq, a predicted model, not a curated record
UUUUCUGCUGCAGCCUUCACCCGCCUUCUCAGCCAUUGUGAUGCUCCACCAAGGUCAGCCAUCAUCCUCCGCCUGUUCCACCGUUGAAUAAUCACACACAUGAACA